RNAcentral lists this small RNA (75 nucleotides) under Xanthomonas vasicola. Its description in RNAcentral is "sX9 sRNA". It matches the Rfam family "Xanthomonas sRNA sX9". The record is from RNAcentral. Lineage: Bacteria; Pseudomonadati; Pseudomonadota; Gammaproteobacteria; Lysobacterales; Lysobacteraceae.
AUGUAUCACUCGUACGCUGUGGUUUCUCCGCGCCGUCCACGCCCACCUGACGACUGCUCGCUACGUUUAUUAGCC